UCCAAGGUGCCGCACUCCUCCCACUGUGUCUCUGCAUACACACCCAGCCCCUUCCAGAGCCCCCUCUCCUUCCUGGGGACAGGACGGUGGGACUGGCAGGCUAAGGCUGUACAUGAGAGGGAGCCGACACUGGACUCCUGAUUUCACCAGACAGGUAAAGUGUGACUGAGAGAGGAGAAGCGACCUUCUCAACGCCCCAAGACCAGUGGGUGGCAGAGCCGGAUGUUGAACUCACAUUUCUUUGACACCCAAGCCUGCACUUGUUGAACCGCCCAGGCAGGCAGAGACACAUAGACACAGAAGGAAGAUGAUGUGAGGACACAGGUAGGCCACCACGUGAAGACAGAGGAUGGGUGAUGCACCUACAAGCCAAGGAACACCAAAGAUCGCUGGAAACCUCCA
This 402-nucleotide long non-coding RNA is filed under the name Homo sapiens (human). RNAcentral's name for it is "HSALNT0308991". The record is from RNAcentral. Lineage: Eukaryota; Metazoa; Chordata; Mammalia; Primates; Hominidae.